UGGGGCGUCGCCAAGCGGUAAGGCAACGGGUUUUGGUUCCGUCAUUCGAAGGUUCGAGUCCUUCCGCCCCAGCCA
RNAcentral lists this transfer RNA (75 nucleotides) under Bilophila wadsworthia. RNAcentral describes it as "tRNA-Gln". It matches the Rfam family "tRNA". Rfam says of the family: Transfer RNA (tRNA) molecules are approximately 80 nucleotides in length. Their secondary structure includes four short double-helical elements and three loops (D, anti-codon, and T loops). The record is from RNAcentral. RNAcentral also lists the same sequence under 1 other name. Lineage: Bacteria; Pseudomonadati; Thermodesulfobacteriota; Desulfovibrionia; Desulfovibrionales; Desulfovibrionaceae.